UGGGGAAUCUUGGACAAUGGGCGCAAGCCUGAUCCAGCCAUGCCGCGUGUGUGAAGAAGGUCUUCGGAUUGUAAAGCACUUUAAGUUGGGAGGAAGGGUUGUAAGUUAAUACCUUGCUGUUUUGACGUUACCGACAGAAUAAGCACCGGCUAACUCUGUGCCAGCAGCCGCGGUAAUACAGAGGGUGCAAGCGUUAAUCGGAAUUACUGGGCGUAAAGCGCGCGUAGGUGGUUUGUUAAGUUGGAUGUGAAAGCCCCGGGCUCAACCUGGGAACUGCAUCCAAAACUGGCAAGCUAGAGUACGGUAGAGGGUGGUGGAAUUUCCUGUGUAGCGGUGAAAUGCGUAGAUAUAGGAAGGAACACCAGUGGCGAAGGCGACCACCUGGACUGAUACUGACACUGAGGUGCGAAAGCGUGGGGAGCAAACAGGAUUAGAUACCCCGGUAGUCCCUGAGCGGGCUGGCAAGGCGCAU
RNAcentral lists this ribosomal RNA (472 nucleotides) under uncultured bacterium. Its description in RNAcentral is "bacterial SSU rRNA". It matches the Rfam family "Bacterial small subunit ribosomal RNA", at positions 355 to 825 of the family's 1533-position model. The record is from RNAcentral.